This 57-nucleotide transfer RNA is filed under the name Cricetulus griseus (Chinese hamster). It matches the Rfam family "tRNA", at positions 9 to 63 of the family's 71-position model. Rfam says of the family: Transfer RNA (tRNA) molecules are approximately 80 nucleotides in length. Their secondary structure includes four short double-helical elements and three loops (D, anti-codon, and T loops). Further hydrogen bonds mediate the characteristic L-shaped molecular structure. tRNAs have two regions of fundamental functional importance: the anti-codon, which is responsible for specific mRNA codon recognition, and the 3' end, to which the tRNAs corresponding amino acid is attached (by aminoacyl-tRNA synthetases). tRNAs cope with the degeneracy of the genetic code in two manners: having more than one tRNA (with a specific anti-codon) for a particular amino acid; and 'wobble' base-pairing, i.e. permitting non-standard base-pairing at the 3rd anti-codon position. The record is from Rfam by way of RNAcentral. Lineage: Eukaryota; Metazoa; Chordata; Mammalia; Rodentia; Cricetidae.
AGCUUAGUGGUUAAGAGCACUGGCUGCUAUUCCAGAAGACCUGGGUUCAAUUCCCAG